Molecule: ribosomal RNA, 1356 nt
Filed under: uncultured bacterium
Lineage: Bacteria
Description: bacterial SSU rRNA
Rfam family: Bacterial small subunit ribosomal RNA
Source: RNAcentral
CCUGGCUCAGGACGAACGCUGGCGGCGCGCCUAACACAUGCAAGUCGAACGAGAGAUGAGGAGCUUGCUCUUCAGAUCGAGUGGCGAACGGGUGAGUAACGCGUGAGGAACCUGCCUCAAAGAGGGGGACAACAGUUGGAAACGACUGCUAAUACCGCAUAAGCCCACGGCUCGGCAUCGAGCAGAGGGAAAAGGAGCAAUCCGCUUUGAGAUGGCCUCGCGUCCGAUUAGCUGGUUGGUGAGGUAACGGCCCACCAAGGCGACGAUCGGUAGCCGGACUGAGAGGUUGAACGGCCACAUUGGGACUGAGACACGGCCCAGACUCCUACGGGAGGCAGCAGUGGGGAAUAUUGCACAAUGGGGGAAACCCUGAUGCAGCGACGCCGCGUGGAGGAAGAAGGUCUUCGGAUUGUAAACUCCUGUUGUUGAGGAAGAUAAUGACGGUACUCAACAAGGAAGUGACGGCUAACUACGUGCCAGCAGCCGCGGUAAAACGUAGGUCACAAGCGUUGUCCGGAAUUACUGGGUGUAAAGGGAGCGCAGGCGGGAGAACAAGUUGGAAGUGAAAUCCAUGGGCUCAACCCAUGAACUGCUUUCAAAACUGUUUUUCUUGAGUAGUGCAGAGGUAGGCGGAAUUCCCGGUGUAGCGGUGGAAUGCGUAGAUAUCGGGAGGAACACCAGUGGCGAAGGCGGCCUACUGGGCACCAACUGACGCUGAGGCUCGAAAGUGUGGGUAGCAAACAGGAUUAGAUACCCUGGUAGUCCACACCGUAAACGAUGAUUACUAGGUGUUGGAGGAUUGACCCCUUCAGUGCCGCAGUUAACACAAUAAGUAAUCCACCUGGGGAGUACGACCGCAAGGUUGAAACUCAAAGGAAUUGACGGGGGCCCGCACAAGCAGUGGAGUAUGUGGUUUAAUUCGACGCAACGCGAAGAACCUUACCAAGUCUUGACAUCCCUUGACGAACAUAGAAAUAUGUUUUCUCUUCGGAGCAAGGAGACAGGUGGUGCAUGGUUGUCGUCAGCUCGUGUCGUGAGAUGUUGGGUUAAGUCCCGCAACGAGCGCAACCCUUAUGGUCAGUUACUACGCAAGAGGACUCUGGCCAGACUGCCAUUGACAAAACGGAGGAAGGUGGGGAUGACGUCAAAUCAUCAUGCCCUUUAUGACUUGGGCUACACACGUACUACAAUGGCGUUAAACAAAGAGAAGCAAGACCGCGAGGUGGAGCAAAACUCAGAAACAACGUCCCAGUUCGGACUGCAGGCUGCAACUCGCCUGCACGAAGUCGGAAUUGCUAGUAAUCGUGGAUCAGCAUGCCACGGUGAAUACGUUCCCGGGCCUUGCACACACCGCCC